GGAAGGAUCAUUACAAAUGUUAAGGGUGUCCUCAGGGGCCCCCAAGCAAACACAUGCCUUGUGUAUUCCUCCUGCCGGUCCCUCAAUCCUUGCGUCGCAGUAGGGGCUGAGGUGCCCAGCGGAGGGCCCAUUUUUAACCCUUUGCUAAACCUGUCUUAUGAGAUGGCCCCGUGCCAGAAUCUUUAAACAUUUUAAAACUUUCAACAACGGAUCUCUUGGCUCUCGCAUCGAUGAAGAACGCAGCGAAAUGCGAUAAGUAAUGUGAAUUGCAGAAUUCAGUGAAUCAUCGAAUCUUUGAACGCACAUUGCGCCCUCUGGCAUUCCUCAGGGCAUGCCUGUUCGAGCGUCACUAACAACCAUCUCACAUGCAAUGUGGUCUUGGCUCAUGUGUAUAGCGCCUCCUGUGCUGACUUCACUAAGCUGAAAUGAAUAGGCCAGAUAAGCAAACCAUGGCAACUGACUCACAGAGUAUCUAACAAUGCUAAACUAGUCGCUAGCUGGUAUGAAUCUGUGCCAGUGGACCCCCCCGUUCAUUCAAAUGAGACAUGUUGACCUCGGAUCAGGUAGGGAUACCCGCUGAACUUAAGCAUAUCAAUAAGCGGAGGAAAAGAAACCAACAGGGAUUGCCUCAGUAACGGCGAGUGAAGCGGCAAAAGCUCAAAUUUAAAAUCUGGCACUCUCAGUGUCCGAGUUGUACUUUGGAGAGGCAUCUUCUGGAGGGACCCAGCCUAUGUGCCUUGGAACAGGACGUCAUAGAGGGUGAGAAUCCCGUCCUUGGCUGGAUGUUCCCUCCUGUAUGUAGUGUCUUCUACGAGUCGAGUUGUUUGGGAAUGCAGCUCAAAAUGGGUGGUAAAUUUCAUCUAAAGCUAAAUAUUGGCGAGAGACCGAUAGCGCACAAGUAGAGUGAUCGAAAGAUGAAAAGCACUUUGAAAAUAGAGUCAAACAGUACGUGAAAUUGUUGAAAGGGAAGCGCUUGAGACCAGAGUCAACC
RNAcentral lists this ribosomal RNA (991 nucleotides) under uncultured fungus. RNAcentral describes it as "eukaryotic LSU rRNA". The stretch from base 550 to 991 matches the Rfam family "Eukaryotic large subunit ribosomal RNA", at positions 1 to 440 of the family's 3401-position model. Lineage: Eukaryota; Fungi. The record is from RNAcentral.